AUUGAACGCUGGCGGCAGGCCUAACACAUGCAAGUCGAACGGUAACAGGAAACAGCUUGCUGUUUCGCUGACGAGUGGCGGACGGGUGAGUAAUGUCUGGGAAACUGCCUGAUGGAGGGGGAUAACUACUGGAAACGGUAGCUAAUACCGCAUAACGUCGCAAGACCAAAGAGGGGGACCUUCGGGCCUCUUGCCAUCGUAUGUGCCCAGAUGGGAUUAGCUAGUAGGUGGGGUAACGGCUCACCUAGGCGACGAUCCCUAGCUGGUCUGAGAGGAUGACCAGCCACACUGGAACUGAGACACGGUCCAGACUCCUACGGGAGGCAGCAGUGGGGAAUAUUGCACAAUGGGCGCAAGCCUGAUGCAGCCAUGCCGCGUGUAUGAAGAAGGCCUUCGGGUUGUAAAGUACUUUCAGCGGGGAGGAAGGGAGUAAAGUUAAUACCUUUGCGCAUUGACGGUACCCGCAGAAGAAGCACCGGCUAACUCCGUG
This 490-nucleotide ribosomal RNA is filed under the name uncultured bacterium. RNAcentral's name for it is "partial 16S ribosomal RNA". It matches the Rfam family "Bacterial small subunit ribosomal RNA", at positions 30 to 507 of the family's 1533-position model. The record is from RNAcentral.